RNAcentral lists this unclassified non-coding RNA (515 nucleotides) under Hevea brasiliensis (rubber tree). The record is from RNAcentral. Lineage: Eukaryota; Viridiplantae; Streptophyta; Magnoliopsida; Malpighiales; Euphorbiaceae.
GCCACACCUCUUUCUCCUCAUCUCCUCUCUCCCUCUGUUGUUCUCUUACAACGAGAACCACUAGAGAAUAAUCAUGUAGAUAGUGGCCAAGUAAACUCAACUGCUCGACCACUGCCAACCCUUUUUCCCAAACACCGCCGACUUGGAAAAACCUACAGAAACAACACCAGCUCCAGCGGCUUCGACCAACAAGCGGUGAAUAAUGACUCUGGGCGACGAGAAUAACAACGCUCCAGCCAGUGGCUACGAGGUCUACAACAAUGACGGCCAGAAUAUCGAUCCAACACGGUAGCUCAAGUUUUUCAGUCGGCUUAAAGACAAAUCUGUUAAGGGAAUCAGAAGUCUUGAUGUGCCAUGGAGGAUGGAUAGGUUUUCAAGGCUUGAAGAUGAAGUAUUAGUGAGUCCUCAUCAAUUCGAGGAUAAUAUCCACAUGUCCCUUAUGUCAUACUCUUCAUCUUAUUGUCUUUUAUGGGAUUAGUCCCAAGUGUUGUAUACUCUAAAGUUUAGAUGGUUCA